CCAGAAAAGAGAAAAUUCACAAAAAAUAUCAAAUGACAAAAUAAAAAAUAUUAAAAAUCAGAAAUAGAAAUUAUGAAUUAUUUGGGAAAUAAUGUAAUUGGUCCCAUAAUUUUUGGAUUAAAAAUGAAAGAGAUAUUGAUUUUUGAAAUAAAAAGGAAUUUAAGAAAAAAAAUAGAAAUUAGAAAUUGGAAAAACGAGAGCCCUUGGAUCUGAGCUCAUUAAUUGAGCUGGCAGAUCCAAGGAUCCAGAGGCG
This 253-nucleotide long non-coding RNA is filed under the name Lathyrus oleraceus (garden pea). RNAcentral's name for it is "Pisum sativum (pea) long non-coding RNA (PSAT_LNC030538)". Lineage: Eukaryota; Viridiplantae; Streptophyta; Magnoliopsida; Fabales; Fabaceae. The record is from RNAcentral.